RNAcentral lists this ribosomal RNA (158 nucleotides) under uncultured bacterium. RNAcentral describes it as "partial 16S ribosomal RNA". It matches the Rfam family "Bacterial small subunit ribosomal RNA", at positions 1345 to 1500 of the family's 1533-position model. The record is from RNAcentral.
CAGGUCAGCAUACUGCCGUGAAUACGUUCCCAGGCCUUGUACACACCGCCCGUCACACCAUGAGAGUUGGGGAUACCCGAAGCCUGUGAGCUAACUAUUUAUAGGAGCAGCAGUCGAAGGUAGAAUCAAUGAUUGGGGUGAAGUCGUAACAAGGUAUC